GCCCUUGCUCAUGCUAGUUAGAACAAGGUCAGUCAUAGAAACUGUAAGAAAAUGCUGUUGGCCGGACUGCCCUUUCUGCUGGAAUAGCCUCCACUGAAAAUAGUACUACUACUACUACUACUUAAAAAAAACAAACCAACAAAACUCAGCACUUUAGAGUGCACUCAUUGAGCAGUUUGAUACAUUUUUCUGAAGAACUCAAAGUGUCCAAAGCUGGCUGGCCAAAGCUACACUCCAGCUAGGAGUAACAGAAUAGGACUUAGGCUCCUUUUUGUUGUUUUUUGGAAGCAGGGCCAUGAUUAAGAGCAAUGGCUGGGGACAUUCAUUUUGUGCCACUUGAACUGGAAUUCUUGGGCUAGAGUAAGAUGAACUAAAGCAAAAGCACUUGCCAAUAAUGUUUUCAAUAUUCAAGAACAAAAGCUGGAGGCUUGUGGCCAACUCACUAUCCAGUGGCAUUACACCCAUCACCCACCAGGCAACUCGCAGGACACCCAGGCUUUUGCGUUUUAGGGGGAGUAUGGGCAUUACCAGAAGUAGAGUUUGAGACUAAAUUUGAUUCAAUGUUGUAAAUCUUGCCUGUUCAGUCAUGGACAGGAUUGAAGGAAUAUAAGCUUUUUCUUGAUUUCUUGGGUGGUGGUGCAUGCUUAUUCUUAGCUGAUGGAGCAAUUAGUCUGGUUAAUUUUCCUAUUGCAUUUGAUAUCAGAAGAGAUGUAUAGAGGAAGCCCCCAACCAAGACCCACCAGGAGGAGAAGACAGUUUAAUAAUACGUAUAUGGCCAGACACAUGGGCUGAAGACCAGCCCUAGUACAGACCAGUUAGAUGUAAACACUCUAAGCUAUUAAGAGUUCUUCAUUUUGAAUUAUGAAUUAUCUCAUAACUGAGAGCAGAGACCUCUCAAAUGCAGCUUUUCAGCACUUAGACUUCAUAGAAUCAUAGAAUCAUAG
This 944-nucleotide non-coding RNA is filed under the name Chlamydotis macqueenii (Macqueen's bustard). RNAcentral describes it as "Chlamydotis undulata macqueenii Eukaryotic small subunit ribosomal RNA". It matches the Rfam family "Eukaryotic small subunit ribosomal RNA", at positions 644 to 1449 of the family's 1831-position model. Lineage: Eukaryota; Metazoa; Chordata; Aves; Otidiformes; Otididae. The record is from Rfam by way of RNAcentral.